Molecule: ribosomal RNA, 253 nt
Filed under: uncultured bacterium
Lineage: Bacteria
Description: partial 16S ribosomal RNA
Rfam family: Bacterial small subunit ribosomal RNA
Source: RNAcentral
UACGUAGGGUGCAAGCGUUGUCCGGAAUUAUUGGGCGUAAAGAGCUCGUAGGCGGUUUGUCGCGUCUGCUGUGAAAACUCGGGGCUUAACUCCGGGCCUGCAGUGGGUACGGGCAGACUAGAGUGCGGUAGGGGAGACUGGAAUUCCUGGUGUAGCGGUGAAAUGCGCAGAUAUCAGGAGGAACACCGGUGGCGAAGGCGGGUCUCUGGGCCGAUACUGACGCUGAGGAGCGAAAGCGUGGGGAGCGAACAGG